GAAAGAAUAUCGGAGACGGAUGGGCAUGCGGCGCAUUAGCUAGUUGGCGGGGUAACGGCCCACCAAGGCGACGAUGCGUAGGGGUUCUGAGAGGAAGGUCCCCCACACUGGUACUGAGACACGGACCAGACUCCUACGGGAGGCAGCAGUGAGGAAUAUUGGUCAAUGGGCGAGAGCCUGAACCAGCCAAGUCGCGUGAGGGAGUACUGCCCUAUGGGUUGUAAACCCCUUUUGUCGGGGAGCAAAAGCCGGACGUGUCCGUCUGUGAGAGUACCCGAAGAAAAAGCAUCGGCUAACUCCGUGCCAGCAGCCGCGGUAAUACGGAGGAUGCGAGCGUUAUCCGGAUUUAUUGGGUUUAAAGGGUGCGCAGGCGGAUUUUUAAGUCAGCGGUCAAAUCGUGGGGCUCAACCCCAUCCAGCCGUUGAAACUGGGGAUCUAGAGUGUGCGAGAGGUAUGCGGAAUGCGUGGUGUAGCGGUGAAAUGCAUAGAUAUCACGCAGAACCCCGAUUGCGAAGGCAGCAUACCGGUGCACAACUGACGCUCAGGCACGAAAGCGUGGGUAUCGAACAGGAUUAGAUACCCUGGUAGUCCACGCAGUAAACGAUGAAUGCUACCUGUUUGGCCAGAUUGAAGGCUGA
Molecule: ribosomal RNA, 638 nt
Filed under: uncultured bacterium
Lineage: Bacteria
Description: bacterial SSU rRNA
Rfam family: Bacterial small subunit ribosomal RNA
Source: RNAcentral